RNAcentral lists this ribosomal RNA (309 nucleotides) under Triticum aestivum (bread wheat). RNAcentral describes it as "partial small subunit ribosomal RNA". The record is from RNAcentral. Lineage: Eukaryota; Viridiplantae; Streptophyta; Magnoliopsida; Poales; Poaceae.
AUGAUAAUGCAUAAACUUGAGCUGCCUGCAGAUUUUGGGGUUAGUCCCACUUUUAACAUUGCAGAUUUGAAGCCUUAUUUGGGUGAGGAAGAUGAACUUCCGUCGAGGACGACUUCAUUUCAAGAAGGGGAGGAUGAUGAGGACAUCAAUACAAUUGUUACACCCACAGCCCCUGCUGCUAUACAUACUGGACCAAUUACUAGAGCUCGUGCACGCCAACUAAAUUACCAGGAAACAGACCCUCGUGGUCAGGUUGAUCGUGCUCCGGCGUGGUCAAUAACCUCUCGGAGUUGGUUUAGCGAUUGCUAA